CCUACGGGGGGCUGCAGUGGGGAAUAUUGGACAAUGGGGGCAACCCUGAUCCAGCCAUGCCGCGUGUGUGAAGAAGGCCCUCGGGUUGUAAAGCACUUUCAGUGAGGAAGAACGCCUGGUGGUUAAUACCCAUCAGGAAAGACAUCACUCACAGAAGAAGCACCGGCUAACUCCGUGCCAGCAGCCGCGGUAAUACGGAGGGUGCGAGCGUUAAUCGGAAUUACUGGGCGUAAAGCGCGCGUAGGUGGCUUGAUAAGCCGGUUGUGAAAGCCCCGGGCUCAACCGGGGAACGGCAUCCGGAACUGUCAAGCUAGAGUGCAGGAGAGGAAGGUAGAAUUCCCGGUGUAGCGGUGAAAUGCGUAGAGAUCGGGAGGAAUACCAGUGGCGAAGGCGGCCUUCUGGACUGACACUGACACUGAGGUGCGAAAGCGUGGGUAGCAAACAGGAUUAGAUACCCCUGUAGUC
This 465-nucleotide ribosomal RNA is filed under the name Vreelandella stevensii. Its description in RNAcentral is "partial 16S ribosomal RNA". It matches the Rfam family "Bacterial small subunit ribosomal RNA", at positions 338 to 795 of the family's 1533-position model. The record is from RNAcentral. Lineage: Bacteria; Pseudomonadati; Pseudomonadota; Gammaproteobacteria; Oceanospirillales; Halomonadaceae.